RNAcentral lists this ribosomal RNA (497 nucleotides) under uncultured bacterium. RNAcentral describes it as "partial 16S ribosomal RNA". It matches the Rfam family "Bacterial small subunit ribosomal RNA", at positions 28 to 507 of the family's 1533-position model. The record is from RNAcentral.
GAUGAACGCUGGCGGCGUGCCUAAUACAUGCAAGUCGAGCGAACAGAUGAGGAGCUUGCUCCUCUGACGUUAGCGGCGGACGGGUGAGUAACACGUGGAUAACCUACCUAUAAGACUGGGAUAACUUCGGGAAACCGGAGCUAAUACUGGAUAAUAUAUUGAACCGCAUGGUUCAAUAGUGAAAGACGGUUUUGCUGUCACUUAUAGAUGGAUCCGCGCCGCAUUAGCUAGUUGGUAAGGUAACGGCUUACCAAGGCAACGAUGCGUAGCCGACCUGAGAGGGUGAUCGGCCACACUGGAACUGAGACACGGUCCAGACUCCUACGGGAGGCAGCAGUAGGGAAUCUUCCGCAAUGGGCGAAAGCCUGACGGAGCAACGCCGCGUGAGUGAUGAAGGUCUUCGGAUCGUAAAACUCUGUUAUUAGGGAAGAACAAAUGCGUAAGUAACUAUGCACGUCUUGACGGUACCUAAUCAGAAAGCCACGGCUAACUACGUG